This 292-nucleotide ribosomal RNA is filed under the name uncultured bacterium. RNAcentral's name for it is "partial 16S ribosomal RNA". It matches the Rfam family "Bacterial small subunit ribosomal RNA", at positions 505 to 796 of the family's 1533-position model. The record is from RNAcentral.
GUGUCAGCCGCCGCGGUAAUACGAAGGUCCCAAGCGUUAUCCGGAUUUAUUGGGUUUAAAGGGUGCGUAGGCGGGCUAUUAAGUCAGUGGUGAAAGCCCCAAGCUUAACUUGGGAACUGCCAUUGAUACUGAUGGUCUUGAGUACAUUUGAGGUGGGCGGAAUGUGUCAUGUAGCGGUGAAAUGCUUAGAUAUGACACAGAACACCGAUUGCGAAGGCAGCUCACUAAACUGUAACUGACGCUGAGGCACGAAAGCGUGGGGAGCAAACAGGAUUAGAAACCCCCGUAGUCC